Molecule: ribosomal RNA, 475 nt
Filed under: uncultured Rhodocyclaceae bacterium
Lineage: Bacteria; Pseudomonadati; Pseudomonadota; Betaproteobacteria; Rhodocyclales; Rhodocyclaceae
Description: bacterial SSU rRNA
Rfam family: Bacterial small subunit ribosomal RNA
Source: RNAcentral
GGAAUUGACGGGACCGCACAAGCGGUGGAUGAUGUGGAUUAAUUCGAUGCAACGCGAAAACCUUACCUACCCUUGACAUGUCCGGAAUCCCGAAGAGAUUUGGGAGUGCUCGCAAGAGAACCGGAACACAGGUGCUGCAUGGCUGUCGUCAGCUCGUGUCGUGAGAUGUUGGGUUAAGUCCCGCAACGAGCGCAACCCUUGUCAUUAGUUGCCAUCAUUUGGUUGGGCACUCUAAUGAGACUGCCGGUGACAAACCGGAGGAAGGUGGGGAUGACGUCAAGUCCUCAUGGCCCUUAUAGGUGGGGCUACACACGUCAUACAAUGGAUGGUACAAAGGGUCGCCAACCCGCGAGGGGGGAGCCAAUCCCAUAAAGCCAUUCGUAGUCCGGAUCGCAGUCUGCAACUCGACUGCGUGAAGUCGGAAUCGCUAGUAAUCGUGGAUCAGAAUGUCACGGUGAAUACGUUCCCGGGUCUU